AUGCCUAAUACAUGCAAGUCGAGCGAAUGAUGAAGAAGCUUGCUUCUUCUGAUUUAGCGGCGGACGGGUGAGUAACACGUGGGCAACCUACCCUAUAGAUUGGGAUAACACAGGGAAACCUGUGCUAAUACCGAAUAAUACAUUUUCUUUCAUGAGAAGAUGUUGAAAGAUGGUUUCGGCUAUCACUAUAGGAUGGGCCCGCGGCGCAUUAGCUAGUUGGUGAGGUAAUGGCUCACCAAGGCAACGAUGCGUAGCCGACCUGAGAGGGUGAUCGGCCACACUGGGACUGAGACACGGCCCAGACUCCUACGGGAGGCAGCAGUAGGGAAUCUUCCACAAUGGGCGAAAGCCUGAUGGAGCAAUGCCCGCGUGAGUGAUGAAGGAUUUCGGUUCGUAAAACUCUGUUGUAAGGGAAGAACAAGUAGCGUAGUAACUGGCGUUACCUUGACGGUACCUUAUUAGAAAGCCACGGCUAACUACGUGCCAGCCGCCGC
RNAcentral lists this ribosomal RNA (494 nucleotides) under uncultured bacterium. RNAcentral's name for it is "bacterial SSU rRNA". It matches the Rfam family "Bacterial small subunit ribosomal RNA", at positions 44 to 518 of the family's 1533-position model. The record is from RNAcentral.